Molecule: ribosomal RNA, 429 nt
Filed under: Bacteroidota bacterium
Lineage: Bacteria; Pseudomonadati; Bacteroidota
Description: Bacteroidetes bacterium partial 16S ribosomal RNA
Rfam family: Bacterial small subunit ribosomal RNA
Source: RNAcentral
UAGGGAAUCUUCCGCAAUGGACGCAAGUCUGACGGAGCAACGCCGCGUGAGUGAAGAAGGAUUUCGGUUCGUAAAACUCUGUUGUUAGAGAAGAACAGCGCAUAGAGUAACUGUUAUGCGUGUGACGGUAUCUAACCAGAAAGCCACGGCUAACUACGUGCCAGCAGCCGCGGUAAUACGUAGGUGGCAAGCGUUGUCCGGAUUUAUUGGGCGUAAAGCGAGCGCAGGCGGUCAAUUAAGUCUGAUGUGAAAGCCCCCGGCUCAACCGGGGAGGGUCAUUGGAAGCUGUUUGACUUGAGUGCAGAAGAGGGGAGUGGAAUUCCAUGUGUAGCGGUGAAAUGCGUAGAUAUAUGGAGGAACACCAGUGGCGAAGGCGACUCUCUGGUCUAUAACUGACGCUGAGGCUCGAAAGCGUGGGUAGCUAACAGG